Molecule: ribosomal RNA, 460 nt
Filed under: uncultured bacterium
Lineage: Bacteria
Description: partial 16S ribosomal RNA
Rfam family: Bacterial small subunit ribosomal RNA
Source: RNAcentral
CCUACGGGCGGCAGCAGUGAGGAAUAUUGGUCAAUGGACGAGAGUCUGAACCAACCAAGUAGCGUGAAGGAUGACUGCCCUAUGGGUUGUAAACUUCUUUUAUAAAGGAAUAAAACGAGGUACGUGUGCCUUUUUGCAUGUACUUUAUGAAUAAGGAUCGGCUAACUCCGUGCCAGCAGCCGCGGUAAUACGGAGGAUCCGAGCGUUAUCCGGAUUUAUUGGGUUUAAAGGGAGCGUAGAUGGGUUGUUAAGUCAGUUGUGAAAGUUUGCGGCUCAACCGUAAAAUUGCAAUUGAUACUGGCAGUCUAGAGUACAGUAGAGGUAGGCGGAAUUCGUGGUGUAGCGGUGAAAUGCUUAGAUAUCACGAAGAACCCCGAUUGCGAAGGCAGCUUACUAAACUGUGACUGACAUUGAUGCUCGAAAGUGUGGGUAUCAAACAGGAUUAGAUACCCUAGUAGUC